This 553-nucleotide ribosomal RNA is filed under the name Trichoderma sp. KN11. RNAcentral describes it as "eukaryotic LSU rRNA". The stretch from base 175 to 328 matches the Rfam family "5.8S ribosomal RNA". The record is from RNAcentral. Lineage: Eukaryota; Fungi; Ascomycota; Sordariomycetes; Hypocreales; Hypocreaceae.
GUGACGUUACCAAACUGUUGCCUCGGCGGGAUCUCUGCCCCGGGUGCGUCGCAGCCCCGGACCAAGGCGCCCGCCGGAGGACCAACCAAAACUCUUUUUGUAUACCCCCUCGCGGGUUUUUUUAUAAUCUGAGCCUUCUCGGCGCCUCUCGUAGGCGUUUCGAAAAUGAAUCAAAACUUUCAACAACGGAUCUCUUGGUUCUGGCAUCGAUGAAGAACGCAGCGAAAUGCGAUAAGUAAUGUGAAUUGCAGAAUUCAGUGAAUCAUCGAAUCUUUGAACGCACAUUGCGCCCGCCAGUAUUCUGGCGGGCAUGCCUGUCCGAGCGUCAUUUCAACCCUCGAACCCCUCCGGGGGGUCGGCGUUGGGGAUCGGCCCUCCCUUAGCGGGGGCCGUCUCCGAAAUACAGUGGCGGUCUCGCCGCAGCCUCUCCUGCGCAGUAGUUUGCACACUCGCAUCGGGAGCGCGGCGCGUCCACAGCCGUUAAACACCCAACUUCUGAAAUGUUGACCUCGGAUCAGGUAGGAAUACCCGCUGAACUUAAGCAUAUCAAUAA